This 233-nucleotide ribosomal RNA is filed under the name uncultured bacterium. RNAcentral's name for it is "partial 16S ribosomal RNA". It matches the Rfam family "Bacterial small subunit ribosomal RNA", at positions 100 to 334 of the family's 1533-position model. The record is from RNAcentral.
CGGGACGGGUGAGUAAUGUCCGGGAAACUGCCUGAUGGAGGGGGAUAACUACUGGAAACGGUAGCUAAUACCGCAUAACGUCGCAAGACCAAAGAGGGGGACCUUCGGGCCUCUUGCCAUCGGAUGUGCCCAGAUGGGAUUAGCUAGUAGGUGGGGUAACGGCUCACCUAGGCGACGAUCCCUAGCUGGUCUGAGAGGAUGACCAGCCACACUGGAACUGAGACACGGUCCAG